ACCCUUGAUUAUCUUAAUUUGUUGCUUUGGUGGGCCGCGCAAGCACCGGCUUUGGCUGGAUCGUGCCCGCCAGAGGACCACAACUCUGUAUUAAAUGUCGUCUGAGUACUAUAAAAUAGUUAAAACUUUCCACCACCGAUCUCUUGGUUCUGGCCUCGAUGAAGAACGCCGCGAAAUGCGAUAAGUAAUGUGAAUUGCAGAAUUCAGUGAAUCAUCGAAUCUUUGAACGCACUUGCGCCCUCCGGUAUUCCCGAGGGCAUGCCUGUUCCAGCGUCCUAAUGACCAAAUCACUUCUAUUAGUGGACUUGGAGUUGGCCUGUACUGGCCUCUCUUAAAAGCAGUGGCGGUGCUCUUAAGCUCUACGCGUAGUAAUCUUUCUCGCUAUAGGGUCUUACUAGUAUUUGCCAACCAACCCCCAAUUAUAUAGGUUGACUUCGGAUCANGUAGGGAUACCCGCUGAACUUAAGCAUAUCAAUAAGCGGAGGAAAAGAAACUCAACAGGGAUUACCCUCGUAACGGCGAGUGAAGCGGUAACAGCUCAAAUUUGAAAUCUGGCUCUUUCAGGGUCCGAGUUGUAAU
Molecule: ribosomal RNA, 579 nt
Filed under: uncultured fungus
Lineage: Eukaryota; Fungi
Description: eukaryotic LSU rRNA
Rfam family: 5.8S ribosomal RNA (bases 124-276)
Source: RNAcentral